GGAGUUUGGGCCGUGUCUCAGUCCCAAUGUGGCCGUUCACCCUCUCAGGCCGGCUAUUGAUCGUCGCUUUGGUAGGCCUCUACCCCACCAACUAGCUAAUCAAACGCGGGUCCAUCUACAAGCGAUAAAUCUUUUCUCACUGUAUCAUGCGAUACUGUAAGCUUAUAUUGUAUUAGCAACAAUUUCUCGCUGUUAUCCAAUUCUUGUAGGUAGGUUACCCACGCGUUACUCACCCAUCCGCCACUAGAAUUCUUACUGCUUUGACCGAAGUCUCCACUGUAAGGUUCCCGUUCGACUUGCAUGUGUUAGGCACGCCGCCAGCGUUCAUC
This 329-nucleotide ribosomal RNA is filed under the name uncultured Lachnospiraceae bacterium. RNAcentral describes it as "partial 16S ribosomal RNA". The record is from RNAcentral. Lineage: Bacteria; Bacillati; Bacillota; Clostridia; Lachnospirales; Lachnospiraceae.